This 278-nucleotide ribosomal RNA is filed under the name Escherichia coli. Its description in RNAcentral is "partial 23S ribosomal RNA". It matches the Rfam family "Bacterial large subunit ribosomal RNA", at positions 1104 to 1380 of the family's 2925-position model. Lineage: Bacteria; Pseudomonadati; Pseudomonadota; Gammaproteobacteria; Enterobacterales; Enterobacteriaceae. The record is from RNAcentral.
GCUUAGAAGCAGCCAUCAUUUAAAGAAAGCGUAAUAGCUCACUGGUCGAGUCGGCCUGCGCGGAAGAUGUAACGGGGCUAAACCAUGCACCGAAGCUGCGGCAGCGACGCUUAUGCGUUGUUGGGUAGGGGAGCGUUCUGUAAGCCUGUGAAGGUGUACUGUGAGGUAUGCUGGAGGUAUCAGAAGUGCGAAUGCUGACAUAAGUAACGAUAAAGCGGGUGAAAAGCCCGCUCGCCGGAAGACCAAGGGUUCCUGUCCAACGUUAAUCGGGGCAGGGU